RNAcentral lists this long non-coding RNA (3294 nucleotides) under Sus scrofa (pig). RNAcentral describes it as "lncRNA (ENSSSCG00000056855.1)". Lineage: Eukaryota; Metazoa; Chordata; Mammalia; Artiodactyla; Suidae. The record is from RNAcentral.
UUUCUAGGGCCACUCCCGUGGCAUAUGGAGGUUCCCAGGCUAGGGGUCUAAUUGGAGCUGCAGCCACCGGCCUACGCCAGAGCCACAGCAACACAGGAUCCAAGCUGUGUCUGCAACCUACACCACAGCUCACCGCAAGGCCGGAUGCUUAACCCACUGAGCGAGGCCAGGGAUCGAACCUGCAACCUCAUGGUUCCUAGUCGGAUUCAUAAACCACUGAGCCACAACGGGAACUCCCACAAAAUUCUGAUUUAAAAGAAAAAUCCAAAAAACCAGGCUCUUUUGUGCAAUUUGACUAAAGAGUUUAAAAGUUAGAUGGAAAUGUAACAGGCCAAGAGCAGUCAAGAUACUCUUGAUAAACCAGGGAGAGGACUUGCCCAAUCAGAUACCAUGAUUUCUUUAUAAAUCCAGAGUAAUAAAGAUGAAGUGUUAUUGCCACAAGGAUAGACAAAUAGACCAUUGGCACACAGACUAGAGAGCCCAAAAUCUGCCCAGGCACACGGGGACACUUGAUACUAAGCAGCAGGUGAUACUGCAAAUCAGGAGGGGAAAGACUUUUCUUUUUUUCUUUUUAUGGCCACACCUGUGGCAUGUGGAAGUUCCCAGACUAGGGGUUGAAUCGAAGUUGCAGCUGCCAGCUGAUGCCUACGCUGGAUCUGAGCUGCUUCUGUGACCUACUCCACCACUUGCGGCAACACCGGAUCCUUAGCCCACUGAAUGAGGCCAGGGACCGAACCCACAUCCUCGUGGACACUGUGUCAGGUUUGUUUUUGUUUUUGUUUUUGUUUGUCUUUUUGCUAUUUCUUGGGCUGCUCCCGUGGCAUAUGGAGGUUCCCAGGCCAGCAUAAGGACAUUAAAGCCAGAUAAGGACACCACAAGAAAAGAAAACUACAGGCCAAUAUAUUUGGUAAAUACAGAUGCAAAAAUUCUCAACAAAAUACUAGCAAAUCAAAUUCAAAGGGACAUUAUGAGGAUGAUAUAUCAUGAGCAGGUAGGAUUAUCCAUGGGAUACAAAGAUGGCUCAACAUACAUAAACCAAUAAACUCGCAUGUGGGCUCUGGUGGGAGUAAGCUCCCGGCACAGGGCCGUGGUGGGCAUUAGCAGCCAUCUCUGGAAGGUCAACACAGUGACCACGGGAGCAGGUGACACUCAGGCGUGGGGCUGCUGCUUGGAGCAGGGGUCUGCCCAGCGAUCCUCCUGCAGGACCCACCCAUUCACCUACACCCAAAGUCAGUGAUGCCUCCGCACCCCCCACCCGCCCUGUGAGCUGAGCACCUUGUCCUGCAAGAGACAGGACUGCCCAUUGCAGCUCAGGUUUCCUGGUUUGCCCUGGGUGAGCAUCCCUCGCUUACUUUUUGAUGGCAAACACGGUCAGGCCAAUGGUGGUGUUUCUGAACUGUGCAUCCAGGACAGCAGAAUCAAAGGUCCCAUCCCAGAUGAUGGGAGCAAACCAGGGAGUCAUGACCAGCACGUCCACUCUCCUGGGGAGACGAGUCACAGCGUGUUAGAGCCGGGCACAGUGUUGUGGGCCACAGAGGGCAAGCGUUUGUCCAAAGUUGCACAGCCCGUGAGCAGCAGAGCUAGAAAGAGACAGGACUCCAGACUCCCAGCCCAGAGCUCUUUGCACCCUAAGCUCAGCACCCAAGACUCAACACUCCCAUCCCCUCACUGCCCUAAGUUGGAGUGUCCCUGAGUACCAGCCCGGUGCUGGCCCCACGAGACACUUCCGUGAGGCCUCGCAACCCUGUUUCCAGGAGGAGGAGUCUCGGCGAGGGAGGACAAGCACCACGCCCUCUCUCAGCACACGGGGACUUUGCCAUGAUAAGAAAUACAUUUGGGGGAGUUCCCUUGUGGCGCAGCAGGUUAAGGAUCUGGCUGGCUUUGUCACUCCAGAGGCUCGGGUGGCUGCUGUGGCAUGGGUAACUUACCCUAGCUGGGUAACUUCCACACGCUACAGGCACAACCAAAACACAAAACGAAACAAAACAACACAAAACUUUAUGUGGUCUCUGCCACUCCUCUCCCCUUACCUGACACAGGCCCUUGGAAUUGCUAGGGCCCUUGGAAUUUCCUGGGUCGCGGGAGCAUCUCGGUUCUAAUGAGGUGACUCUGGGUGGGCUCCUGGGUAGCUCGGGAUGGGGCUGGUCACCAGGAAGACCAAGCCAGGAUUAGAAACUCGGACCUUUCAGCCCCAUAUCCCAGCCUCCCGAGAGGAGAGGGGGCUGGAGAUUGAGUUAAUAACCAAUCAUGCCAAAGAGAUGAAGCCUCCAUAAAAAUCCCCAGACUACAGGGUAUUGAGGGCUUCUGGGUGGGCGGACAUGUGGAGGUGCGGGGGGGAGGCGUCCCUGGGGGAGAGCGUGGAAGCUCCGCCCCCUCCCCAUUCCCUUCUCGGUACACCUGUCCCCCCCAACUGUCCCUGAGCUGCAGCCUUUAUAAGGAGACAAGAAUCCAGUAAGUAAACUGCUUUCUUGAGUUCUGUGAGCAUUCCAGCAAAUGAUCAAACCCAAGGAAGGAGCGGUGGGAAAUGAUUUACAGCGAGUCGGUCAGGAGCACAGGUGACAGCCAGGAACUCGGGACUGGUGUCUGAAGUGGGGGCAGGGCUGCGGGGCUGAGCCCUCCACCUGCAGAGUCUGUGCGAAUUGCGGGCAGUGUCAGAAUCGCUUGGUGUGGAAAACCCACACAUGUGCUCUGGGUAGAGGAAACAAGAGCUUCCUUUUAGGGACAAAGCUUCGAGAGGGGAGGGGGCUCCUCCUGUCCCGCGUUCUUUGCCACUGCUGCAUUCUCCAGCGGGCACAGACACCUCUCACAUCUCCCUCCACUCACUCUCAUUCAUCAGGACAAAAGAAUCCACCAAAAAACUCAUGCCAACGUGUCCCUCCAGAUCUGCGCUGUCCCACAGAAACAGAGGUAACUAAAAAUCCUCAAGCGCCACAGAAAAGUCAAAGGAAGCAGGAGAAACUGCCAUUAAUUUGGUAUUUUUUUGUUUUACCCCAUAUAUCCAAAACAUCAUCAUUUCGAUUGGUAACCAAUCGUUUCUCUUGGAGGACAGUUAAUUUACAAUCUUGUGUCAGUUUCAAGUGUACAGGAAAGCGUCCUUUCUUUUAUAGGUUACUAUGCGAUACGGAGCGUAGUUCCCUGUGUGUACAGUGGGUCCUUGUUGUGUGACUAUUUUAUAUACAGUAGGGUGUGUGUGUGAAUCCCACACCCCCGGCACAUUUUUCGUGUAUGUUUAAGUGCAUCUCUUGGGUACCAAGUGUUUGAAACCCAGUUUGCGUUUCACCAUCAAUGGCACAU